UACCUUUGCAAGCGAACUGGUUCCGAACAGUCGUAUCGAUUGUCCGGAUUAAAAGGGAAUCGGGUGAAAAUCCCGGACAGUCCCGCUGCUGUGAAGCUCUGCCCAACUUUCCGAUAAAAUCUUUCGCCACUGACAGACAAUACAAGCGCCGUCGGGAAGGCAUCGGGAAGGGAGUCAGUCAGAAGACCUGCCAUUUCAUUUCAAAGGCU
This 209-nucleotide non-coding RNA is filed under the name Bacteroides pyogenes. Lineage: Bacteria; Pseudomonadati; Bacteroidota; Bacteroidia; Bacteroidales; Bacteroidaceae. The record is from RNAcentral.